GUUUUGGUGAUAGUGAUGUGUUUGUAGAUCUUUCUUUUACUGAACAUUCUUGCUACUUACUAUUUUCUCUAUCUAUAUAGACUUGGCCCUUUAGAUACAGAGGAAAAUAUUUUGUAAAAAUUUACAAAAAUUUACCAAAUUAAUGAAAAUUGUUAAAAAUUUAUUAUAAAGGGCAAUAACUCCUUAAGGGGUCAACUGACCAUUGUGGUCAUGUUGACUUAUUAUUAGAUCUUACUUUGCUGAACAUUAUUGCUGUUUACAGUUUGUCUCUAUCUAUAAUA
RNAcentral lists this long non-coding RNA (281 nucleotides) under Mytilus galloprovincialis (Mediterranean mussel). Lineage: Eukaryota; Metazoa; Mollusca; Bivalvia; Mytilida; Mytilidae. The record is from RNAcentral.